RNAcentral lists this ribosomal RNA (765 nucleotides) under uncultured Streptococcus sp. Its description in RNAcentral is "bacterial SSU rRNA". It matches the Rfam family "Bacterial small subunit ribosomal RNA", at positions 28 to 776 of the family's 1533-position model. Lineage: Bacteria; Bacillati; Bacillota; Bacilli; Lactobacillales; Streptococcaceae. The record is from RNAcentral.
GACGAACGCUGGCGGCGUGCCUAAUACAUGCAAGUAGAACGCUGAAGCUUGGUGCUUGCACCGAGCGGAUGAGUUGCGAACGGGUGAGUAACGCGUAGGUAACCUGCCUCUUAGCGGGGGAUAACUAUUGGAAACGAUAGCUAAUACCGCAUAAAAGUCAAUAUCGCAUGAUAUUGAUUUGAAAGGUGCAAAUGCAUCACUAAGAGAUGGACCUGCGUUGUAUUAGCUAGUUGGUGAGGUAACGGCUCACCAAGGCGACGAUACAUAGCCGACCUGAGAGGGUGAUCGGCCACACUGGGACUGAGACACGGCCCAGACUCCUACGGGAGGCAGCAGUAGGGAAUCUUCGGCAAUGGGGGCAACCCUGACCGAGCAACGCCGCGUGAGUGAAGAAGGUUUUCGGAUCGUAAAGCUCUGUUGUAAGAGAAGAACGAGUGUGAGAGUGGAAAGUUCACGCUGUGACGGUAUCUUACCAGAAAGGGACGGCUAACUACGUGCCAGCAGCCGCGGUAAUACGUAGGUCCCGAGCGUUAUCCGGAUUUAUUGGGCGUAAAGCGAGCGCAGGCGGUUAGAUAAGUCUGAAGUUAAAGGCUGUGGCUUAACCAUAGUACGCUUUGGAAACUGUUUAACUUGAGUGCAGAAGGGGAGAGUGGAAUUCCAUGUGUAGCGGUGAAAUGCGUAGAUAUAUGGAGGAACACCGGUGGCGAAAGCGGCUCUCUGGUCUGUAACUGACGCUGAGGCUCGAAAGCGUGGGGAGCAAACAGG